This is a non-coding RNA of Myotis lucifugus (little brown bat), 945 nucleotides long. NCBI's taxonomy places the organism in Eukaryota, Metazoa, Chordata, Mammalia, Chiroptera, Vespertilionidae. The record is from Rfam.
AGGGCUCAACGAGAGCGUGACAAUGCUGCCAGAUUGGGGAGAAGUCGUCAGCACUUCACUGAGAGGGAAAAAGACAUGGCGAUUGCUCUGUACUAUGGCUAUGCAAUGUAGGAGAUGAUGGGAGUGCUGGCGCCCCUUUCUUUCGGCACCGGCUGUUUUUCCAUAGAGAGGUAGCUCCAUAGAUAGAUAAUAGGUUGGCAGAUAGACAUGAAUUUCAGAAUCUGGAUAGAUUUUACCACUCAACAAAACUGAACAAAUAUGGGAAAUCGGUCGUCCGACCUGGGUAGAGGGGCGAAAGACCAAUGGAACCGUCUAGCAGCUGGUUCCCUCCGCAGUUUCCCUCGGGAUAGCUGGCGCUCUGGCAGACGCACAAAAGACGCACUUUGAUCCAUCCGGUCAAGCGAAUCAUUAGAGGUCUUGGGGCAGAAAGGAUCUCAACGUAGUCUCAAACUUUCUUUCAAUGGGGCAGAAGCCCGGCUCGCUGGCGUGGAGCCGGGCGUGGAAUGCGAGUGCCUAGCGGGCCACUUUUGGCAAGCAGAACUGGCGCUGCGGGGUGAACCGAACGCCUGCUUAAGGCGCCCGAUGCCGACGCUCAUCAGACCCCAGAAAAGGUGUUGGUUGAUAGCGACAGCAGGACGGGGGUCAUGGAAGUCGGAAUCCGCUAACGAGUGUGUAACAACUCACCUGUGGAAUCAACGAGCCCUGAAAACGGAUGGCGCCGGUGCCGCGGGCCCAUACCCGGCUGUAGUUCUUCCAAGGAGAACUUGGAAGGCCAAAGUGGAGAAGGGUUCCAUGAGAACAGCAGUUGCACAUGGGUCAGUCGGUCCUGAGAGAUGGGCGAGCGCCAUUCCGAGGGGACCGGCAAUGGGCCUCCGUUGCCCUCAGCCGAUCGAAAGGGAGUCGUGUUCAGAUCCCGAAUCCCGAGUGGCGGAGACGGGCGCCCGA